CCUUGACAUCCACGGAAUUUGGCAGAGAUGCCUUAGUGCCUUCGGGAACCGUGAGACAGGUGCUGCAUGGCUGUCGUCAGCUCGUGUUGUGAAAUGUUGGGUUAAGUCCCGCAACGAGCGCAACCCUUAUCCUUUGUUGCCAGCGGCUCGGCCGGGAACUCAAAGGAGACUGCCGGUGAUAAACCGGAGGAAGGUGGGGAUGACGUCAAGUCAUCAUGGCCCUUACGGCCAGGGCUACACACGUGCUACAAUGGCGCAUACAAAGAGAAGCGACCUCGCGAGAGCAAGCGGACCUCAUAAAGUGCGUCGUAGUCCGGAUUGGAGUCUGCAACUCGACUCCAUGAAGUCGGAAUCGCUAGUAAUCGUAGAUCAGAAUGCUACGGUGAAUACGUUCCCGGGCCUUGUACACACCGCCCGUCACACCAUGGGAGUGGGUUGCAAAAGAAGUAGGUAGCUUAACCUUCGGGAGGGCGCUUACCACUUUGUGAUUCAUGACUGGGGUGAAGUCGUAACAAGGUAAGCGUAGAUGA
Molecule: ribosomal RNA, 530 nt
Filed under: uncultured bacterium
Lineage: Bacteria
Description: bacterial SSU rRNA
Rfam family: Bacterial small subunit ribosomal RNA
Source: RNAcentral